UUGCUUUGUUCAACACCGAUUAGAUGUCCGACCCAAUCCAUUCCACUAAAACAUGGGGACAAAACGAGCCAUUUGUCUGAGAGAA
This 85-nucleotide small nucleolar RNA is filed under the name Triticum aestivum (bread wheat). RNAcentral describes it as "snoRNA SNOR75". It matches the Rfam family "Plant small nucleolar RNA SNOR75". From Rfam's summary of the family: U15 is a member of the C/D class of snoRNA which contain the C (UGAUGA) and D (CUGA) box motifs. The record is from Rfam by way of RNAcentral. Lineage: Eukaryota; Viridiplantae; Streptophyta; Magnoliopsida; Poales; Poaceae. RNAcentral also lists the same sequence under 1 other name.